ACUGUUGAUAUGGAUGGUAGUGCUCCAGAUGGGAAUGGUCAAUCAAUUGAUGCUACGCAACGGCUUUUUAAAGCCUUCCAUACAUACUGUGGACGAAAAGGGGUAUGUUAAUUAAUGAUAUAAUGCAAUGUAGAAGACCAUGUAGCAUUUCAACUAAUGUUUCAAUUGAUUUUAAAUGAUGUUUCAGAUUCAAGCGAGAAGCAUUGUUCUUUAUGGUAAUGAUGUUUCGAAGGCACUUGUAGACUACAUAAAUGAGAACAACAUCACCAAUAUUUUCAUGUUUGGUUAUUUUAGUUUAAACAGAAGAAAUCCUUGCAUUUAUUGUAGAUGCUGGCUUCAUGGACUUAUAAAAAAUUGGCAGCUGAAGUCAAUAGCUAUAUGGUAGGAAAUAGCUCUUGCUAUAGCUCUGCAGGAGGAAGAAUUGGGUAAGGGGGAGUUCUAAGCAUAUACGCAGUUAGAAUUAAAAUGCGGAGGGGCGUAAGUUGUAGCAGUUGCAGGCACUUUCCCCAUAGCACAUAAGCAAAAUAGAAUCAGUGUGCAUAGAGAUGUGAAUAAUGCAGAAGUUCCUAGCAGAGUGUCUAUUAUUAUAAUUGCCUUUGACAUUGACAUACUCUGGAAGUAGUUUCAUUGUUAGUUUCAUAUUCACCACAUACGUACUAACAUAAUUAAUCUUUUCUUGUUUUUCUCAGUUGUUUUUAUUUAAUUUUAUACUCCCCUCACUUCUAAAUUAGAGAUGCAUUUUUUUGUCCAUUCCAAAAAAUAAAGUUAGUGAUAAUUUGAAAAAAAAAUAAAGUUUUUAAAAUGUAUCUCUAGAAUGGAGGGAGUGAAUAUAUAUAUACUCACACUGGCGCACACACACACAUGUUAAUUAUUUGUAAAGUUGUGUGCUUGUAGUGUAAAUGCUUUGCAAUUCCUUGUUCUUUGAAUUUGUUUAUUUCUUUCAUCUAAUAGUUUUUUUUCAAUAUUAUGCAGAUUGACAGAUGGUAGCUGUUGGCAACAUGAUGUUGAAAGUUAAAGGGAGAAAUCAGGUAUCUUGUGUUAUAUUAAAACUUAAUAUUGGCAAAGUUAGGAUAAGCCUGCUAAAUUGGAAUGACAGAAGAAAGAAAUAUAGGGGCAAAAUAAUUUAGUAAGCAGUUACUUUUGUAGUCUUGAAAUUCUCUAAAGAUUAACAGAACUAUCCAUGACAAGAGUAAAUAUGGAGGAAAUAUUAACUCAUAGUUGAUAGAAAAUCUCUUCAUCCAAAAGAUUAAAAAAAAGGAAAAUCAUUAAAGUGGAUAAAACCUCUACUACCUUUGGACGAAGGUUACAUUCUGUUGCAUUUGAAAAUUAUAGGGAACCAUAGUAUCCAAGAGAAGCAUAGGGUAAUGAAAUCUUGCUCUUCAUCUUUUUGAGAUAAUUUAGAUGAUCAAGCUAUGAAAUGAAAGAUGUACACGAUGGUUAUGCUACGUUGGUAGAUGACCUCAAAUCAAUACAUAGUAGGAUAUUUCUUGCUAAUAUGCAAGUGCAUGCGAUCAUAUUGCGUUCUGUUUCUUAAAGUAAAAUCUUCUUUUUUUGGCCUACCUUAAAUAUAUCUUAAGCUAGUAAACAAUAUAAGUUAGUUUGGAUGCUUUAUUAUCAAAGGAUCGCCUUUUAAAAAUUGAGCAUUGCUUACACAAGAUCAAUUUCCUUUCUAUCACAUUAUUUUCAUUCUUUCUAUUUUUUCUUGUGCUUGACUUCCUUUGUAAAUCGGGACUUUUUAUCCAUGUCUAGAUUUUACAUAUAUAUAAUAUUGAUAAGUAUAUCUAGAUGUCAAAUUAUACAUGUCAGAUGACAUUAUCUCAACAUUGAACAUGUUUUUACCAGCUAAAUUGAUAGACUUGUCUAUUGAUUUUCAUAUGGCUUCACUAUCAUAUAUGAUGGUUCUCUGAAAAUGAUGAAUGGUUUAUCCAACAUUCCCAUAUGACUAGCAUAUGCUUUGUAAAUCACACUUUUUUUUACUGUUAUAUUUGUUUCAUAGUUUAAUUUGGUGAAGUUUCACAAUAUAUGUUUUAGAGAAGGUGAAUUGAGCAAAAGGGCCACAACAGGAUUCACAACGACAAUUACAGCAACAACAACCAAAUAUAUUACAACAAGACAUGCUGCUAAGGCACCAAACAUCAGACUCGUUCCAGAAACAUCAUGCAAUUAAGUAGGAAAAGCAGUUAUUGCAAUAAGCAAUUUCCUUUCCAGCAGAAUCAUCAAGUAUGUUUCUGACUUUCGCUACACGCACGAACAUAUUUAUCAAGUUGUACUGUCAUCAUUAUAAGCCUGUAAAAUGUCUGAUCACUUGUAGCAUUAUUUAUGAGCACCAAUUAUUAUCUUGAUCCGUGUGUCAAUGUAUACCCACCAGGACAAGGUUCACGAAGCACGUGUUUUUCUUCUUCAAGAUAUUUGAUUUAGAUAUUAAUUUGGUAGUCAAUAAAAAGGUUAUUACCUUCUUCCAUGUCCCUUGAUUAGUAAGAAAAUAACACAACAUUGUUGUCUUUGUGUAUUGAUUUUGGCACUAAGUGCCUCUAGUGACCUAUUUGCUUCAUUUUUCUGACUUGCUAUUAUUUUUAAAUAUGUGCAGGAAGAUUGCUUCUACGACCUGCCUUACAAUACUGGGUAUCAAAUUUUCGUGCUACGUUUACGGAAGACAAGGGACGAAAUUAUGAAGUGUACUCUCUCUAUAUAUGUAGAUAUAUAUUUUGAUUGAAGAACUGUGGUAGCUUUAGAUGGUUAAUUGUAAAGAUAAUGAAUGAUUAUGUAGUGGAUGAUUUUAUUAAGUUAAUAAUAUUUUAGUUUUUUGUAUUUUUGCC
This 2816-nucleotide long non-coding RNA is filed under the name Panax ginseng (ginseng). RNAcentral describes it as "long non-coding RNA (PGIN_LNC011449)". The record is from RNAcentral. Lineage: Eukaryota; Viridiplantae; Streptophyta; Magnoliopsida; Apiales; Araliaceae.